Molecule: ribosomal RNA, 386 nt
Filed under: uncultured bacterium
Lineage: Bacteria
Description: bacterial SSU rRNA
Rfam family: Bacterial small subunit ribosomal RNA
Source: RNAcentral
AUUGAACGCUGGCGGCAUGCCUUACACAUGCAAGUCGAACGGCAGCACGGACUUCGGUCUGGUGGCGAGUGGCGAACGGGUGAGUAAUGUAUCGGAACGUACCUUUCAGUGGGGGAUAACGUAGCGAAAGUUACGCUAAUACCGCAUAUUCUGUGAGCAGGAAAGCAGGGGAUCGCAAGACCUUGCGCUGAUUGAGCGGCCGAUAUCAGAUUAGCUAGUUGGUGGGGUAAAGGCCUACCAAGGCUACGAUCUGUAGCGGGUCUGAGAGGAUGAUCCGCCACACUGGGACUGAGACACGGCCCAGACUCCUACGGGAGGCAGCAGUGGGGAAUUUUGGACAAUGGGGGCAACCCUGAUCCAGCCAUGCCGCGUGAGUGAAGAAGGCC